This is a long non-coding RNA of Ipomoea nil (Japanese morning glory), 203 nucleotides long. RefSeq lists it as uncharacterized. The record is from RefSeq and is a predicted model, not a curated record. The transcript is spliced from 3 exons. NCBI's taxonomy places the organism in Eukaryota, Viridiplantae, Streptophyta, Magnoliopsida, Solanales, Convolvulaceae.
CCAAGUUUUCACCAAUGAGCUAAUCAGCAUAAAGUGACCACACAGGUUAGAUCCCAGAAUUAACAUCUAUAAACACAAGAUUAAGUUUGUUUUCGUCUUGCCCUGCAUAAAGUGGGAACCUUGCAAAUUCGCUUCAACAUUUUACCAUAUUACAGUAAAAUGGGUGCAAAAGGUUUAUAGCGAAGCACAAAACAAACAAAAUA